RNAcentral lists this long non-coding RNA (262 nucleotides) under Musa acuminata (dwarf banana). RNAcentral describes it as "long non-coding RNA (MACU_LNC003403)". The record is from RNAcentral. Lineage: Eukaryota; Viridiplantae; Streptophyta; Magnoliopsida; Zingiberales; Musaceae.
GAGGAAUCUGAACAACCAUGUGGGAUGUUGUUGUUCCUUCUCGAGGGUCACUCUCUCUCCAUGCCCUGAAACAUUCUUUGAGCAGUGACAAGCGUGCUGCUGGUGGAGCCACCGGAUCGAAUGCUUUAUUCUGGUGGUUGACACAUCCUGCUCACCAUCUUCCCCGCAUGAGCUUUUGGCACACCACCACAGUCUACUUCCAAUCCAAAUUGCCCUGCACACACCCUACUGUUGCUUUGUGUUGUGUCUUGGUGAGCCUUCU